AAUCUGUGUUGCGGGUACUUUCUCAGGAUCUCCUUGAACGUUUCCCACUUCUCAAAUAGAGACUCUAAUUCUGAUAGUACAAAGAUGAGAUCUUAUUCCUAAGCUU
This is a small nucleolar RNA of Dioscorea cayenensis subsp. rotundata (Guinea yam), 106 nucleotides long. NCBI's taxonomy places the organism in Eukaryota, Viridiplantae, Streptophyta, Magnoliopsida, Dioscoreales, Dioscoreaceae. The record is from RefSeq and is a predicted model, not a curated record.